GAGUAGCAAUACUCUCUGAUGGCGACCCGUUAAAGGGUGCGUAACGCGUGAGCAACUUGCCCUCACAGGGGAAUAAUCGCUGGAAACGGCGUCUAAUGCCCCAUGGUGAUGUCCUCAGGCAUCUGAGGUCAUCUAAAGAUCCGUCGGAUGGGGAUAGGCUCGCGUGACAUUAGCUAGACGGCGGGGUAACGGCCCACCGUGGCGACGAUGUCUAGGGGUUCUGAGAGGAAGGUCCCCCACACUGGAACUGAGACACGGUCCAGACUCCUACGGGAGGCAGCAGUGAGGAAUAUUGGUCAAUGGGCGCAAGCCUGAACCAGCCAUGCCGCGUGCAGGAAGACGGCUCUAUGAGUUGUAAACUGCUUUUGUACUAGGGUAAUUUGCGGUACGUGUACCGUACUGAAAGUAUAGUACGAAUAAGGAUCGGCUAACUCCGUGCCAGCAGCCGCGGUAAUACGGAGGAUCCAAGCGUUAUCCGGAUUUAUUGGGUUUAAAGGG
Molecule: ribosomal RNA, 498 nt
Filed under: uncultured bacterium
Lineage: Bacteria
Description: bacterial SSU rRNA
Rfam family: Bacterial small subunit ribosomal RNA
Source: RNAcentral